CUCAUAGCCAACACACACACAUUUUUACCAAAUCAAGCUUGGGUUCGUUGUUCCCAAAUCUGGUGACAUUCGGCAAGGAAAUUCCGAAUCUCAAUCGCGGUGCCGCUACUUGUGAUGGAUGCAUUUUUACCAAAUUUUGCAUUGAUCGCAUUGCCGCUACUGCCGAGAAGAUGCAGCCCAAGUAUGUAAGCCCAAUAAAAUGGGCCCAUAUGCCCAUUAACGCAGGCCCAAUAAUAAUAAUGCAGAAUGUCCACUAUAAAUUUCUCCCUCUCUGCAAACCCUAUUUUUUCACUCUUAGUUGUUUUCCCGUAUCCAGCCCCCGGGAAAAUGGCCGCCGCCGCCGCCCGCCCCCUCGUCACCGUGCAGUCCCUGGAGAACGAUAUGGCCACCGACGGAGGAGCCGCAGCCAACUGCCUGCCUCUUCCUGACGUAAUGAAAGCCGCUAUCCGCCCCGACAUCGUCACGUUCGUGCACGGCCAGAUCUCCAACAACGCCCGGCAGCCUUACGCCGUCUCCAAACGCGCCGGCCACCAGACCUCUGCCGAGUCCUGGGGUACCGGCCGUGCAGUCUCCCGUAUCCCCCGUGUACCCGGCGGUGGUAUUUGACAUUCCUCUCGUGAUUUGAUCAGUAUAUAUACCAGUGAGGAAGCAGCCGCAAUCAAGAGCGCUAGCAAGGGAUGGUAUAAGACAAUGAUCUCUGAUAGCGACUACACUGAAUUUGAAAACUUCACAAAAUGGUUGGGCGUAUCUCAGUGAGGGGUUUUUGAGCUUACAUUUUUUCCUUUCAUGUUUUUUUGAAGCUUAAAUGGAGAGUUUUUGUUUAGACUUUUACUUGGAAUAAUUUCAUGUUGCCUUCACACACUCUGGUUGUUUUGAGUUGGAUGUUUUUGUCAUUCGCGAAUGAGGUUUCAGUGCAAAUCCUACUUAGUCAGAGAAUUAAUCCUUAA
This is an RNA transcript of Salvia miltiorrhiza (redroot sage), 947 nucleotides long. It is a transcript of the gene named 60S ribosomal protein L4-like, with no coding region annotated. The record is from RefSeq and is a predicted model, not a curated record. The transcript has 2 exons. Lineage: Eukaryota; Viridiplantae; Streptophyta; Magnoliopsida; Lamiales; Lamiaceae.